RNAcentral lists this unclassified non-coding RNA (246 nucleotides) under plant metagenome. RNAcentral's name for it is "partial contains small subunit ribosomal RNA, internal transcribed spacer 1, and 5.8S ribosomal RNA". The stretch from base 1 to 54 matches the Rfam family "Eukaryotic small subunit ribosomal RNA", at positions 1778 to 1831 of the family's 1831-position model. The record is from RNAcentral.
GUAAGUAAAAGUCGUAACAAGGUCUCCGUUGGUGAACCAGCGGAGGGAUCAUUACAGGACUCGCAAGACUCCUUCACCCUGUGAACCUCACUACAAGCACGUUGCUUCGGCGGGUGUCCCGGCGGGGGUUUUCCCUCGCCGGGGCGCACAGCCCGCCGGCAGCCUACUAUACUCUGUCUCUUUGCGUUGGCAUCUCGAGAAAAAACAAACAAGUUAAAACUUUCAACAACGGAUCUCUUGGUUCUG